This 255-nucleotide ribosomal RNA is filed under the name uncultured bacterium. RNAcentral's name for it is "partial 16S ribosomal RNA". It matches the Rfam family "Bacterial small subunit ribosomal RNA", at positions 524 to 777 of the family's 1533-position model. The record is from RNAcentral.
UACGGAGGGAGCUAGCGUUGUUCGGAAUUACUGGGCGUAAAGCGCACGUAGGCGGCUUUGUAAGUUAGAGGUGAAAGCCCGGGGCUCAACUCCGGAACUGCCUUUAAGACUGCAUCGCUUGAAUCCAGGAGAGGUGAGUGGAAUUCCGAGUGUAGAGGUGAAAUUCGUAGAUAUUCGGAAGAACACCAGUGGCGAAGGCGGCUCACUGGACUGGUAUUGACGCUGAGGUGCGAAAGCGUGGGGGAGCAAACAGGG